GUGGAACAAAAGGGUAAAAG
This 20-nucleotide small nuclear RNA is filed under the name Arabidopsis thaliana (thale cress). RNAcentral describes it as "snRNA_07202". Lineage: Eukaryota; Viridiplantae; Streptophyta; Magnoliopsida; Brassicales; Brassicaceae. The record is from RNAcentral.